This 225-nucleotide ribosomal RNA is filed under the name uncultured bacterium. RNAcentral describes it as "partial 16S ribosomal RNA". It matches the Rfam family "Bacterial small subunit ribosomal RNA", at positions 109 to 334 of the family's 1533-position model. The record is from RNAcentral.
AGUAACGCGUGGGUAACCUACCCUGUACACACAGAUAACAUACCGAAAGGUAUGCUAAUACGGGAUAAUAUAUUUGAGAGGCAUCUCUUGAAUAUCAAAGGUGAGCCAGUACAGGAUGGACCCGCGUCUGAUUAGCUAGUUGGUAAGGUAACGGCUUACCAAGGCGACGAUCAGUAGCCGACCUGAGAGGGUGAUCAGCCACACUGGGACUGAGACACGGCCCAG